UAGGGAGACCUAAACCCAAGAUCUUGAGGAUGCAACAAAGCCCAAGAAAUUGAGGUCAACCUAGGUCGGUCGGAGAAUCGUCGUAGCUUUCAAACGAUAAGAGGUUAGGAAUCCCAACUGCUCAAAUUUCUUUGAGAAGUUGGGAAAAAGAGACCAACCUUGAAAUGGGCUAUUAGCUCAGGUGGUUAGAGCGCACCCCUGAUAAGGGUGAGGUCCCUGGUUCAAGUCCAGGAUGGCCCACCUAACUCUUUAGUGAUGCGAGAGCAGAAACUAAGAAAAUGGGGGUAUAGCUCAGUUGGUAGAGCGCCUGCUUUGCAAGCAGGAUGUCAGCGGUUCGAGUCCGCUUACCUCCAUGCUGGUCUCACCCCAACUCAAUCAUUCAACCAUUCCUAACACAAACAAGAGUGCAAGGAUACCUCAGCACCUGAGAGAGACUCAGACUGCUGGGACAUCCCAGCCAGAACCUUGAAAACUGCAUAGUCAACCUAAAAAAAGUCAGGUGAAGUCGAGACCUCAAGAAAAAUGAGGU
Molecule: transfer RNA, 529 nt
Filed under: Oscillatoria sp. PCC 8989
Lineage: Bacteria; Bacillati; Cyanobacteriota; Cyanophyceae; Oscillatoriales; Oscillatoriaceae
Description: partial 16S-23S ribosomal RNA intergenic spacer
Rfam family: tRNA (bases 281-353)
Source: RNAcentral